UAUACUAUAUCGAUCCAAAAAAGAAGCACUAUAUCCAAAAAAGAACACAUCAGUACUAAGAGUUAACACUAACAAGUAACUAACGUUUACAUCUCCUCUCCUCCAUUCCCAUCAUCAAGAUACAAAUCAGCUUCCAAAUCCGGUUCAUCCAAAGACAACUCUGCUAACUCAAUUCCAACACCAUCAAGCGGUUCAUGCACAUCUCCACUAAUGUCCCACAUUCUUGAUUGUCCUUUCUUAUAUCCAUCUUCUUUCCUUGACAAGAGUUGAAGAUUAGUAUGCACAUAAACCAAAUCUUCUACCCUUUUUGGAUCCAUUUUGUUUAUUUUCAAAGAAUGGAUAAAAGAAAAAGUACUCCAAUUUCUCUCACAACAUGAGGAAGAACAAGGUUGCACAAGAAGCUUUAAACCCUAAUUUCUCGACGGUGGCCAAAGUGGAC
Molecule: long non-coding RNA, 439 nt
Filed under: Medicago truncatula (barrel medic)
Lineage: Eukaryota; Viridiplantae; Streptophyta; Magnoliopsida; Fabales; Fabaceae
Description: long non-coding RNA (MTRU_LNC008074)
Source: RNAcentral